GCGGAAGGAUCAUUAUCGUACCACAUGUGUGUGAGGCGUGCGAGGGCUGUCGCUGACUUUUUGACACAAAAGUCGUGCACGCCGGAGCGUGUCCUCUCACAUAAAAUCCAUCUCACCCUUUUGUGCACCACCGCGUGGGCACCUUUUGGGAUCGAACCGAUCCUGGAGGGGGCUUGCGUUUUCACACAAACCCCUUUUAAAAAGUGUAGAAUGACCCCAUUUUGCGAUGACACGCAAUCAAUACAACUUUCAACAACGGAUCUCUUGGCUCUCGCAUCGAUGAAGAACGCAGCGAAAUGCGAUACGUAAUGUGAAUUGCAGAAUUCAGUGAAUCAUCGAAUCUUUGAACGCACCUUGCGCCCCUUGGUAUUCCGAGGGGCACACCCGUUUGAGUGUCGUGAAAAUCUCAACCUUCUCGGUUUUCUUGCGGACACCGAAGGAGGCUUGGACUUUGGAGGCCUUUGCUGGCAUCUCUCUCUUUUUUGAGAGCCAGCUCCUCUUAAAUGAAUUAGCGGGGUCCUCUUUGCCGAUCCUCGACAUGUGAUAAGAUGUUUCCRUGACUUGGUUUCUGGCUCUGUUGCCUUUGGGACCCGCUUCUAACCGUCUCUCGACRAGACAAUGUUUGGGUGUGUCUCCCUUCUCGGGAGACUCUCUCAACCCCACGAACKCUUGACCUCAAA
RNAcentral lists this ribosomal RNA (680 nucleotides) under Lactarius salmoneus. RNAcentral's name for it is "eukaryotic LSU rRNA". The stretch from base 245 to 398 matches the Rfam family "5.8S ribosomal RNA". Lineage: Eukaryota; Fungi; Basidiomycota; Agaricomycetes; Russulales; Russulaceae. The record is from RNAcentral.